GUGGGGAAUAUUGGACAAUGGGCGAAAGCCUGAUCCAGCCAUGCCGCGUGUGUGAAGAAGGCCUUCGGGUCGUAAAGCACUUUAAGUUGGGAGGAAGGGCUCAUAGCGAAUACCUGUGAGUUUUGACGUUACCAACAGAAUAAGCACCGGCUAACUUCGUGCCAGCAGCCGCGGUAAUACGAAGGGUGCAAGCGUUAAUCGGAAUUACUGGGCGUAAAGCGCGCGUAGGUGGCUUGAUAAGUUGGAUGUGAAAUCCCCGGGCUCAACCUGGGAACUGCAUCCAAAACUGUCUGGCUAGAGUGCGGUAGAGGGUAGUGGAAUUUCCAGUGUAGCGGUGAAAUGCGUAGAUAUUGGAAGGAACACCAGUGGCGAAGGCGACUACCUGGACUGACACUGACACUGAGGUGCGAAAGCGUGGGGAGCAAACAGGAUUAGAAACCCUAGUAGUCC
This 450-nucleotide ribosomal RNA is filed under the name uncultured bacterium. Its description in RNAcentral is "bacterial SSU rRNA". It matches the Rfam family "Bacterial small subunit ribosomal RNA", at positions 354 to 796 of the family's 1533-position model. The record is from RNAcentral.